Molecule: non-coding RNA, 1408 nt
Organism: Pelobates cultripes (western spadefoot toad)
Lineage: Eukaryota; Metazoa; Chordata; Amphibia; Anura; Pelobatidae
Source: the annotation of a GenBank genome assembly
UUUUUAUUUUUAUAUAAUAUCUAAAAAGACAAAACUUUAUUGCUUCUAAGACAAUCCUUAUUUUAUAUUGCAUUCUCUAUUGUUCUCCCUUUUUAUCACAUUUAAUUUUAUCUGUCGAUUGUGAUACUUUUUCCUCCAUAGCAUGUGUAUUUUUACAGUCAGGCUUUUAUCCCUGCAGUGGGCAUUCAUUGCAUAGCAAAUGUCCACUCAAUGAAUCUGAAGUUGCAUAGUCUGUCAGGGGUCCUCAAACUAUGGCCCCUGGGCUGAUUUCUACCUGCCAGGGUCCUGUACCCAGGCCAAGCCCUCAGGGCCACCUGAUGGGCCCUGUAUGUGCAAUAGCGCGACCGCGCGGGAAGUGGGAAAGACAGACAGGCUGCGAGGAGGGAAGAGCCACGCCGACUCCCAUCAGCCGCAGCCAUCCUCCUGCAAAAAAAGUAAGAAAAAUUAGCUGUCAGUAUGUGUCUGUCUGUCUGUGUGUAUGUGUGUCUGUCUAUGUGUGUGUAUUUAUGUCCUUAUGUGUGUGUGUGCAGUGUGCACAGGAGUUCGUUCAUAUUUUUUAUAGUCUUGUCCCAAACAGUGUUUGGGGGACCGUGAACUGGCCCCCUGUUUAAAAACUGCUGAGUUUGUACUAGAAGGGCAUUUUGUAACAUUUGUAAAUAUCUGGCUUAGUUUAAACAAUUAGAACUGUAAAAUAUCUGAACUAGCUUCUUAAAAUUUUAUUGCAUCCCCCUCCUAGUCUAUGGGCUAAUGUUUUGUGUGUUUGGAGCAAAAGGAUGACUGCUUUCAUUGUUUUUCUUUACCUGGUCUGUCAGUGAGUGAACUCUGUUGCUAUACCUGGAACAUUUAAAUAUUGGAUACAAACCUGUAUAUUUGUAAUUUUCCCAUUGCCCUUCUAUGGCGUGCAGUAAUCUGCAUUGAACUCCCCCCUUUUUAUAACAUUGUUUUCUGGAUAGGAAUGAUUAGCUUUACUUGUGAGCCAACAGUCUUGCUGUAGUUUUCAAGAUAGUUAUGAACUGAAAUGUUGCUUGCGUAUAUACAUUUUUUUUAAUUUACAAAAAACACACAUUCUUUAUAGCUAUUGCUCAAAAUUAGCAACUACUGUAGUACAAGACAUUGUGACCUUAUUUUUCUUUUAACAAUGUGGCUCCAUUGCCAAAAGAAAUAAAUGGGAAAGUUAAAAUACGCCAAACCUAUAUGUCUAUGGUGUCCUGUAUUCUAGCGGGUCAUUAGCGCCAGUAGGAAGUAGCGGUCAAUGCGGCGUCUAGGUAUAUGUCUAUGAUGUCAAUUGCAAACAUUAGGAUCUCCUGUGUGGGCCAAUGGAAAAGGCUGAUUUAUUAUAAUUUUUUAUGCACGUGGCCAAUAAAUCCAAUUAUAAACACUAAUUUUCCCAGCAAAUAUUGUAUAUGGC